UGUCCGGAAUUAUUGGGCGUAAAGAGCUCGUAGGCGGUUUGUCGCGUCGGCUGUGAAAACCUGGGGCUCAACCCCGGGCCUGCAGCCGAUACGGGCAAACUAGAAUUCGGUAGGGGAGACUGGAAUUCCCGGUGUAGCGGUGAAAUGCGUAGAUAUCUGGAGGAACACCCGUAGCGAAGGCGGCACUCUGGGCCGGAACUGACGCUGAGGAGCGAAAGCGUGGGGAGCAAACAGG
This 235-nucleotide ribosomal RNA is filed under the name uncultured bacterium. Its description in RNAcentral is "partial 16S ribosomal RNA". It matches the Rfam family "Bacterial small subunit ribosomal RNA", at positions 542 to 776 of the family's 1533-position model. The record is from RNAcentral.